Long non-coding RNA from Juglans regia (Persian walnut), 893 nucleotides. RefSeq lists it as uncharacterized. The transcript has 2 exons. The record is from RefSeq and is a predicted model, not a curated record. Lineage: Eukaryota; Viridiplantae; Streptophyta; Magnoliopsida; Fagales; Juglandaceae.
CAAAACAAAACAAUCACCUGGUCAGAAGUCCCCCUAUAAGAGCUCUUCUUCCCUUCUUGAUUUAUAUAUAUCUCUUCAUAAGAACGUGCCGUGUCCGGUGUCUCGGUAUCUUAUCCGAUACGACUCCAAUUAUGACGGUGAAGCCCGUAAAGGACCCCCAAGAACGAGUCUCUGCCUCUGUUUCUGAGCUUCACAAACCCAAGGAACUCUCGUCCACCGAGUUGGCCAUGACGUUCCAUAAUCUUUCCGGGGAGAAAGUCUCCAAGGUUGAUCGCAAGGAGGUGGCCGCGAAAGCGUCUCCGAAGUCGAGGAAGAAGGUGAAGUAUGUACACAGCCAGAUCCUGAGGAUCAGAGAGGAGGACUCGCACCUCGGCGAGGAUUUCAGUCUUGGUACCAAAGACAGCGGUCUUCUUUAUCAUCAAUAUCACGAUCUGCAUUCGGAGAUGGACGUUGUGCUGUUCUCGAGGCCCAUCUUGCCGAGUUCUCCUCUCAGCGGCAAGACCACGACCUUGAAGGCAUCAUACUGAACAAAUCAAACGAGAGUGCUAUUAAGUUUUGUUUGUGGCAGGAGUAGAGUGUGGAAUGGCAAACUCAGAAACCGAAGAGCACGAGAGGUUGAAAUCAAGUGUAUUUCUGGUCAUGCGAGGUUGAAAUCAAGUGUGUAUUUCUGGUCAUGCGAGGUUGAAAUCAAGUUUCAAAAGUGACCAGAAAAGUCAGAGAGAGAGAGAGAGAGAGAGAGAGUCUUCUAUUGUACAGUGAAGAAGCAAAUACAAUAGCUACUUUGAAACAAAUCAUGGCCUCUUUUCCACUAUUUUCCGUAGACUCGCUCGUGUUUGUAUUGAGAUGUUGGUUAGGGGUUCAAAUGGGAACAACACACGACACGUCCUCAUCCA